RNAcentral lists this ribosomal RNA (420 nucleotides) under uncultured bacterium. RNAcentral's name for it is "bacterial SSU rRNA". It matches the Rfam family "Bacterial small subunit ribosomal RNA", at positions 355 to 775 of the family's 1533-position model. The record is from RNAcentral.
UGGGGAAUCUUGCGCAAUGGCCGAAAGGCUGACGCAGCGACGCCGCGUGUGGGAGGACGCCCUUCGGGGUGUAAACCACUGUUGCCCGGGACGAACAGGUCUAUUCGUAGACCCUGACGGUACCGGGUGAGGAAGCACCGGCUAACUCCGUGCCAGCAGCCGCGGUAAUACGGAGGGUGCGAGCGUUGUCCGGAAUCAUUGGGCGUAAAGGGCGCGUAGGUGGCCCGGUCAGUUUGUGGUGAAAGCGCGGGGCUCAACUCCGCGUCGGCCAUGAAUACUGCUGGGCUGGAGCACUGUAGAGGCAGGCGGAAUUCCGGGUGUAGCGGUGGAAUGCGUAGAGAUCCGGAAGAACACCGGUGGCGAAGGCGGCCUGCUGGGCAGUAGCUGACACUGAGGCGCGACAGCGUGGGGAGCAAACAG